Molecule: ribosomal RNA, 450 nt
Filed under: uncultured bacterium
Lineage: Bacteria
Description: bacterial SSU rRNA
Rfam family: Bacterial small subunit ribosomal RNA
Source: RNAcentral
AUUGAACGCUGGCGGAAAUGCUUUACACAUGCAAGUCGAGCGGCAGCGCGGGGCAACCUGGCGGCGAGCGGCGAACGGGUGAGUAAUGCAUCGGAACAUGUCCAUGUCGUGGGGGAUAGCCCGGCGAAAGCCGGAUUAAUACCGCAUACGCCCGAGAGGGGAAAGUGGGGGACCGCAAGGCCUCACGCGAUUGGGUUGGCCGAUGUCCGAUUAGCUAGUUGGUGGGGUAAAGGCUUACCAAGGCGAUGAUCGGUAGCUGGUCUGAGAGGAUGAUCAGCCACACUGGGACUGAGACACGGCCCAGACUCCUACGGGAGGCAGCAGUGGGGAAUUUUGGACAAUGGGGGCAACCCUGAUCCAGCCAUUCCGCGUGAGUGAAGAAGGCCUUCGGGUUGUAAAGCUCUUUUGUCCGGAACGAAACGGUGAACGUGAAUAUCGUUCGCUACUGAC